RNAcentral lists this ribosomal RNA (482 nucleotides) under uncultured bacterium. Its description in RNAcentral is "bacterial SSU rRNA". It matches the Rfam family "Bacterial small subunit ribosomal RNA", at positions 28 to 507 of the family's 1533-position model. The record is from RNAcentral.
GAUGAACGCUGGCGGCGUGCAUAACACAUUCAAGUCGAACGGGGAAUCUUGAAUUGGAGACUUCGGUCAAAGAUUUGGGAGGAUAGUGGCGGACGGGUGAGUAAUGCAUGAGCAACCUGCCUUAAAGAGGGGGAUAACACAGAGAAAUUUGUGCUAAUACCGCAUGUUUUAUGACGAGGGCAUCCUCGACAUAAUAAAGGAGCAAUCCGCUUUAAGAUGGGCUCAUGUCCGAUUAGAUAGUUGGUGAGGUAACGGCUCACCAAGUCUACGAUCAGUAGCCGGACUGAGAGGUUGAACGGCCACAUUGGAACUGAGAUACGGUCCAGACUCCUACGGGAGGCAGCAGUGGGGAAUAUUGGGCAAUGGGCGAAAGCCUGACCCAGCAACGCCGCGUGAAGGAAGAAGGUCUUCGGAUUGUAAACUUCUUUUAUAAAGGAAGAAAUUUGACUGUACUUUAUGAAUAAGCCACGGCUAACUACGUG